GCAAGUCGAACGAAGCACUUUACCACGAUUCCUUCGGGAUGACGGUUUUGUGACUGAGUGGCGGACGGGUGAGUAACGCGUGGGGAACCUGCCCCAUACCGGGGGAUAACAGCCGGAAACGGCUGCUAAUACCGCAUAAGCGCACAGUACCGCAUGGUACGGUGUGAAAAACUCCGGUGGUAUGGGAUGGACCCGCGUCUGAUUAGCCAGUUGGCGGGGUAACGGCCCACCAAAGCGACGAUCAGUAGCCGGCCUGAGAGGGCGACCGGCCACAUUGGGACUGAGACACGGCCCAGACUCCUACGGGAGGCAGCAGUGGGGAAUAUUGCACAAUGGGGGAAACCCUGAUGCAGCGACGCCGCGUGAGUGAGGAAGUAUUUCGGUAUGUAAAGCUCUAUCAGCAGGGAAGAAGAAAUGACGGUACCUGACUAAGAAGCCCCGGCUAACUACGUGCCAGCAGCCGCGGUAAUACGUAGGGGGCAAGCGUUAUCCGGAUUUACUGGGUGUAAAGGGAGCGCAGGCGGCAUGAUAAGUCUGAUGUGAAAACCCAAGGCUCAACCAUGGGACUGCAUUGGAAACUGUCGUGCUGGAGUGUCGGAGAGGUAAGCGGAAUUCCUAGUGUAGCGGUGAAAUGCGUAGAUAUUAGGAGGAACACCAGUGGCGAAGGCGGCUUACUGGACGA
RNAcentral lists this ribosomal RNA (682 nucleotides) under uncultured Lachnospiraceae bacterium. Its description in RNAcentral is "bacterial SSU rRNA". It matches the Rfam family "Bacterial small subunit ribosomal RNA", at positions 57 to 736 of the family's 1533-position model. Lineage: Bacteria; Bacillati; Bacillota; Clostridia; Lachnospirales; Lachnospiraceae. The record is from RNAcentral.